CCUACGGGUGGCAGCAGCAAGGAAUUUUCCGCAAUGGGCGAAAGCCUGACGGAGCAACGCCGCGUGCGGGAUGACGCCUUUCGGGGUGUAAACCGCUUUUCUUGGGGACGAAGAGUGACGGUACCCGAGGAAGAAGGCCCGGCUAACUACGUGCCAGCAGCCGCGGUAAUACGUAGGGGCCGAGCGUUGUCCGGAGUUAUUGGGCGUAAAGCGCGCGCAGGCGGCGCGUCAAGUCUGACGUGAAAGCCCCCGGCUCAACCGGGGAGGGUCGUCGGAGACUGGCGUGCUUGAGUGUGGCAGGGGCUGGUGGAAUUCCCGGUGUAGUGGUGAAAUGCGUAGAGAUCGGGAGGAACACCCGUGGCGAAGGCGGCCAGCUGGGCCAUCACUGACGCUGAGGCGCGAAGGCGUGGGGAGCGAACGGGAUUAGAUACCCUUGUAGUC
This 441-nucleotide ribosomal RNA is filed under the name uncultured bacterium. Its description in RNAcentral is "bacterial SSU rRNA". It matches the Rfam family "Bacterial small subunit ribosomal RNA", at positions 338 to 795 of the family's 1533-position model. The record is from RNAcentral.